ACUUAUUUAUGUUGGUGUAUAUCUGGUUUAAAUAUUAUUGCUUAAUAGCUUAAUUUGGGGAUUUGUUAUUUAAUCCACCUCUACUAGCUGCUUGUUAUAUGUUUCUUGCUGCGCAUUUUUUAUUUUGGUUAUUAUGUUAACUUUGAAAAUUGAGGACUUAAAGUAAUGUAAAAUAUUUGUUUAUGUGAAAAGGGUUUAGCUUGGGUACACACCGCCCGUCACAACA
RNAcentral lists this ribosomal RNA (226 nucleotides) under Kowalewskius formosus. Its description in RNAcentral is "partial 12S ribosomal RNA". Lineage: Eukaryota; Metazoa; Platyhelminthes; Cestoda; Cyclophyllidea; Hymenolepididae. The record is from RNAcentral.